This 2742-nucleotide long non-coding RNA is filed under the name Lingula anatina. RNAcentral describes it as "uncharacterized LOC106155827, transcript variant X3". Lineage: Eukaryota; Metazoa; Brachiopoda; Lingulata; Lingulida; Lingulidae. The record is from RNAcentral.
AAUUGAAAAUUCCCCGUAUUCUGCUUGUCAUUUUUCCGCUUGGCUGUGGUUUACCUCGGUGCCUCUGUGUAACAUUACCAUGUCUUGAAGCUGCCUGCACCAGUGAGGCAUCCCACUGCUGUGUGCUGUGUCAGAGAUGAACUAUGUGCUGCUGCCACUGCGUAGGCUGUAACAACUUAGGCCGGCUGUUGGAAACCUGCCCAUUUUGCUGAGAGGAAGCAAGUGCUCUGUUCCACAACACUGGUUCUGCACAUGGACAGAGGUCAAAUUCUUCUGCAAAUAGAUGGCAUCAAGACAGACAUUCAUUAAUAAGCCAGCUAUGCACAGGCACUCCUUCCUUUGGGGGCCAGUGGAACCAGGAAUCCUGGUCGGUCAACUUAGCAUCCUGCUGAGCGAGUGACUCCUUCUAGUGCAUUACAACCAUUACCCAGUGCUAAUGUCGACAUGGAAUUUGAUAAUGAACUAGAUGGAGAGAUUAAAGGAGGUGACAGAAAGCCCAAAUCCCCCUAGCUUAUGGCAAGUGCUGUAUUUCCAUGGACAAAAUGGGCCGGACAAAAUGGAUGUGAAAGAACCAUGCUUUGAUUUUGACAGAAUUCUUUAAAAACAAACUUAUGGCAUUUUCCUUGUCUGACUGACUUUGAGUUCUCCUGGGUAUGAAGCCCUGUGCAAGUUUCAUUUUCUGAAAGUCCACAGCAACAGUGAAGGCCCCUGGUAGAAACAGUCUGAUGAAAGAGCAUUUGCCACUGACAUACCUGGUCUAUCAUCCCUGCAAGGUGAACUUCAGAGCUAUCUAUCAGUAGGAAAGGUUAAAUAAUGAGGAAAAUCAGGAAUAGGUUGCUGAAGGUAUCAUGCAUGAGGCUUGCCAGUAUCACUGUCUCCUAGCAACAGGAGUCCUUGGAGGUUAACGGGAGCCAGACUGGAGAAGGGCCCCUUGAGUUGCAUUGAACAGAAAUAUUCUUCUGAAGCUAGUCACAUGAGUUUGCCAAACAAGAGGCCCUGGUUGAGGUUGUAUUCUCCUAAACCGUGUUUGACACUUUUAGACAGCUGAGGGGCACAGUACAUCUCACCCUGAAACUCCAAAGGCAAAAAAAAAGCUGCUAUUAUUAAGUAAUGGACUUCGAAGCUGUACUUUAGUCAAAGAAAAUAAAUUAACUCACCAACUGAGUUAUAACUUCCUGCCUAAUUGUGCUUUUCUGAAGCAAAUAUGUGUUUGUUGCUUUGAAACUUUUCUGCUGAUUUUGCAAAGGCAGUUAAUAGUAGUUAAUAAGGCUGGUUAUUUUCAACUUUUUUGGCUAUGACCUGUUACUUUUGUGCAUCCUCAUUUUAUAUUACUUUCAUCAUUUUAUAGAUGGGCUUUAUUUAUAUAUAUUCUUAUCACCAUUGUCCACCCUAUAACUGCCACUUCAGGGCUAUUCACACUGGCGAUUUCGACCUCGGUUUAGGCCCAAUCACUGCAGCUAUGUCCCUGCACAUUGAAAUAUCUCAUUGAAAUAUUUCUUGACCCAAGUAAAUUAAAUAUUUUGUACAGCAUAACAAUUGUCACUUCUUGAACUCCCCCUAUGUUGUUCAUAUUACUUUCUAAUGAGAACAAUAGUGCUCAUGCUUAACAGGAAGUACAGCUGAUCAUGAUGAAAAGCUAUCGCUGCCCAUUUCUGUGAAAGCAAAGAAAGUGGGUUUAUUUUAUUGCACCGUGGUUUACUUGCCAGUGUGAAUGUCCCUUGUAUUUAUCUUUUACUUCAAAUUUCCUGAGUGACUUUCUUUGGUAAGAAUGGAAGUUCCUUUUGAAAAUCAGCAUGAUCAUAUUAUUUUUACAAUAGUAAUUAAAUUUUUGGUCACAUGGAUUUUGGCAAAGCUCACCCUAUAAGUAACAAACUUUUCUUUUGUUCUUCUUCAAGUUUGCUGAGUGGGUUUGUUUAGUGAGUAUACAUUCUUUUUGAAAAUCAGCAUGAUCAGAUAUCUUUAGACAGGUUAUGUGUUAUGUUGUUGUGCAUGUAUUUUGGUUAUGCUCACCCCAUCAGUGACAAACUGUACUUUUGUUUUACUGAAAUUUGUUGAACAGUUUGUUGUGUAAAAAAGCUUUAGUUAAAAAAUCAAAUAUAUUGGUUAAUUGCCACACAAUACUGCACAUUUUGUGAUGUUUUGCAAUCCUGUUGUCCAGUGUUUUCUUUUAAAAACAGUUAAUUGAGCUUUGUAAACAUUUUAAAAUUGUAUCAGAAUUAUUGAUUUUUUAAGUAACUGGGAGUGACUUUUUCCAAUUUUUUGACUUCUAUGAAUAAUGUGGUUGCAGCAUUUCUAUAUUAGUCAAUAUUUCAAAUAAAGAGCUUAACUUGUGCACAUGGUACAAAUUGAGGACUUGCAUAAACUAGCAAGUUCAGUACAAAAAAGCUGACGUGUUUUGAAAAGCAGGUAUACACUUUUUAGGAAGUUGCUCACUGUUAUCACUGAAAAGUUGAUUUUUUAAUUGCUAUGCUCACUGAAAUAUUUUAGUUUAUGUUAAAAUGGAGCAAUGGGGAUAACUUUUUUUCUGUUAAGGGUCUGUAUAUCUGAACUGCUUUGCUGUCUACUUCUAUUUGAAUACUCGUAGAUUGGAUACAAAUAUGCAUUGUUUCAAAAGUCAUGCUUCAAGUUUGCCCCAUAAUUACGAAUUAUACCAAAUAAUUUCACCUUAUAAAUGGUUAAGAUUUCUUAGAAAUAUAUAUUGACUUUCUGUUGCAUCAAGCAGUAAAGUACAACUGGUAAAGA